Molecule: ribosomal RNA, 616 nt
Filed under: Apolygus lucorum
Lineage: Eukaryota; Metazoa; Arthropoda; Insecta; Hemiptera; Miridae
Description: partial 16S ribosomal RNA
Rfam family: Bacterial large subunit ribosomal RNA (bases 147-306)
Source: RNAcentral
UUAUUUUUUAAUAAUUAAUUUUUAUAUAAUUUUUAUAUAAUUAAUAUUUUAGUUAUUUAUAGGAAUAAAUAUUAUAAUAUAAUAAUAUUUUAAUAAUGAUAAAAUAAGUAUUUUAUAUAUAUAAAAUAUAGUAACUCGGCAAAUAUUAUUUUCGCCUGUUUAACAAAAACAUGGUCUUUUGUUUAUAUAAAAGAUCUAACCUGCCCUAUGAUUUAUUUAAAUGGCUGCAGUAUUUUGACUGUACAAAGGUAGCAUAAUCAUUUGUCUUUUAAUUGAAGGCUUGUAUGAAUGGUUGGAUGAAAAAUAUACUUUCUUUAUUUUAUAUAAAAAAUUUAAUUUUCUAGUCAAAAAGCUAGGAUUUUUUUAUAGGACGAGAAGACCCUAUAGAACUUUAUUUUCUUUUUUUAUAAACUUUAUAGAUAAAUAUAAGUUUAUAUAUUUUUGUUAAUUUUGUUGGGGUGAUUGAAAAAAUUUUUUAACUUUUUCUAUUUUUUGCAUUUAUAUAUGUUUUUUUGAUCCUUUAUUAUGGAAUAAAAGAUUAAGUUACCUUAGGGAUAACAGCGUUAUUUUUUUGGAGAGUUCUUAUCGAUAAAAAAGUUUGCGACCUCGAUGUUGG